CGUCCAUGAUCUGCGGGCAGAUCAGAUGCACGUGACAGUCGAUGGCGCCCGCGGUCAGGAUCCGGCCGUUGCCCGCGAUGAUCUCCGUCGACGGGCCCACCACCAGGUCGGGAUGCACUCCGGUCAUGGUGUCCGGGUUGCCUGCCUUCCCGAUGGCUGCGAUACGGCCGUCGCGUAUUCCGAUGUCGGCCUUGAUGACUCCCCAGUAGUCGAUGAUCACCGCACCGGUGAUGACGGUGUCGGGCGCGCCAUCGGCGCGGGUGGCGCGACCCUGCCCCAUGGAUUCGCGCAG
This 292-nucleotide small RNA is filed under the name Mycobacterium sp. 1274761.0. RNAcentral's name for it is "5' ureB small RNA". It matches the Rfam family "5' ureB small RNA". The record is from Rfam by way of RNAcentral. Lineage: Bacteria; Bacillati; Actinomycetota; Actinomycetes; Mycobacteriales; Mycobacteriaceae.